This 262-nucleotide ribosomal RNA is filed under the name uncultured bacterium. RNAcentral's name for it is "partial 16S ribosomal RNA". It matches the Rfam family "Bacterial small subunit ribosomal RNA", at positions 524 to 777 of the family's 1533-position model. The record is from RNAcentral.
UACGUAGGGUGCGAGCGUUAAUCGGAAUUACUGGGCGUAAAGCGUGCGCAGGCGGUGAUGUAGAGACAGAUGUAGAAACGUCCCGGGCUCAACCGUGGGAACUGCUAUUUGUGACUGCAUCGCUGGAGUGCGGCAGGAGGGGGAUGGAAUUCCGCGUGUAGCAGUGAAAUGCGUAGAUAUGCGGAGGAACACCGAUGGCGAAGGCAACUCCCCGUGGGCCUGCACUGACGCUCAUGCACGAAAGCGUGGGGAGCAAACAGGA